AUUGAACGCUGGCGGCAUGCUUUACACAUGCAAGUCGAACGGUAACAGGCCGCAAGGUGCUGACGAGUGGCGAACGGGUGAGUAAUGCAUCGGAACGUGCCCAGUCGUGGGGGAUAACGCAGCGAAAGCUGCGCUAAUACCGCAUACGAUCUAUGGAUGAAAGCGGGGGACCGUAAGGCCUCGCGCGAUUGGAGCGGCCGAUGUCAGAUUAGGUAGUUGGUGGGGUAAAGGCCCACCAAGCCAACGAUCUGUAGCUGGUCUGAGAGGACGACCAGCCACACUGGGACUGAGACACGGCCCAGACUCCUACGGGAGGCAGCAGUGGGGAAUUUUGGACAAUGGGCGCAAGCCUGAUCCAGCAAUGCCGCGUGCAGGAAGAAGGCCUUCGGGUUGUAAACUGCUUUUGUACGGAACGAAACGGUUCUCUCUAAUACAGGGGGCUAAUGACGGUACCGUAAGAAUAAGCACCGGCUAACUACGUG
Molecule: ribosomal RNA, 482 nt
Filed under: uncultured bacterium
Lineage: Bacteria
Description: bacterial SSU rRNA
Rfam family: Bacterial small subunit ribosomal RNA
Source: RNAcentral